RNAcentral lists this ribosomal RNA (470 nucleotides) under uncultured bacterium. Its description in RNAcentral is "partial 16S ribosomal RNA". It matches the Rfam family "Bacterial small subunit ribosomal RNA", at positions 28 to 507 of the family's 1533-position model. The record is from RNAcentral.
GACGAACGCUGGCGGCGUGCUUAACACAUGCAAGUCGAACGGUGAACGAGGGAGCUUGCUCCCUCCGGAUCAGUGGCGAACGGGUGAGUAACACGUGAGCAAUCUGCCCCGAACUCUGGGAUAAGCGUUGGAAACGACGUCUAAUACCGGAUACGACGCGGGAGGGCAUCCUCUCCGCGUGGAAAGAACUUCGGUUCGGGAUGAGCUCGCGGCCUAUCAGCUUGUUGGUGAGGUAACGGCUCACCAAGGUGACGACGGGUAGCAGGCCUGAGAGGGUGACCGGCCACACUGGGACUGAGACACGGCCCAGACUCCUACGGGAGGCAGCAGUGGGGAAUAUUGCACAAUGGGCGCAAGCCUGAUGCAGCAACGCCGCGUGAGGGACGACGGCCUUCGGGUUGUAAACCUCUUUUAGCAGGGAAGAAGCGAAAGUGACGGUACCUGCAGAAAAAGCACCGGCUAACUACGUG